This 460-nucleotide ribosomal RNA is filed under the name uncultured bacterium. RNAcentral describes it as "partial 16S ribosomal RNA". It matches the Rfam family "Bacterial small subunit ribosomal RNA", at positions 338 to 795 of the family's 1533-position model. The record is from RNAcentral.
CCUACGGGAGGCAGCAGUGAGGAAUAUUGGUCAAUGGACGCAAGUCUGAACCAGCCAAGUCGCGUGCAGGAUGACGGCCCUAUGGGUUGUAAACUUCUUUUGUAAGAGAGUAAACCGAGGCACGUGUGCCGGUUUGCAUGUACUUUAUGAAUAAGGAUCGGCUAACUCCGUGCCAGCAGCCGCGGUAAUACGGAGGAUCCGAGCGUUAUCCGGAUUUAUUGGGUUUAAAGGGUGCGUAGAUGGGUUGUUAAGUUAGUGGUGAAAGUUUGGGGCUCAACCGUGAAACUGCCUUUGAUACUGGCAGUCUUGAGUAUAGUUGAGGUAGGCGGAAUGCGUGGUGUAGCGGUGAAAUGCUUAGAGAUCACGCAGAACACCGAUUGCGAAGGCAGCUUACCAAACUGUGACUGACAUUGAGGCACGAAAGUGUGGGUAUCAAACAGGAUUAGAUACCCUGGUAGUC